GCGCGCCGCCGCCGCGCGCCAUCGGGCCUCCGGCCUUCCACAGCCGCCGCGCGUCGCCGUCGCAUCCCCGACCUCCCCAGCCGCCGAGUGCCGCCGACACACGUCCCCCAGCCGCGCGCCGUCGCCAAGGCGGCCAAGCCUCCCCCAGCCACGGCGCGCUGCCGCUCCUCCUCGCCUCCCCCAGCCACAGAACGAUGCCGCCGUCGCUCCACGCUUCCCCCUGACUCCCAGACGUUGCCGGCGCCC
RNAcentral lists this long non-coding RNA (246 nucleotides) under Oryza brachyantha (malo sina). Its description in RNAcentral is "long non-coding RNA (OBRA_LNC002398)". The record is from RNAcentral. Lineage: Eukaryota; Viridiplantae; Streptophyta; Magnoliopsida; Poales; Poaceae.